This 625-nucleotide long non-coding RNA is filed under the name Helianthus annuus (common sunflower). RNAcentral's name for it is "sRNA HanXRQr2_Chr13g0615531". Lineage: Eukaryota; Viridiplantae; Streptophyta; Magnoliopsida; Asterales; Asteraceae. The record is from RNAcentral.
UGAAGUUAUAAAAAGAGAGAGAUACAGACGAUAGAGAGAAGGGAGGAAUUUGGAGGCGUGGCGGUGACGACGUGAAGGCGUAGGAUCGCGAUUCCGCUCAUACCCUGGGUUGUUUCAGAAAUCCGAUCAAGUUGUUUAGGGUUGUUUAAGAUACAGGCGUUUCCGGAUUGGAGGUCAAUACUUCUUCCACACAAGAAGAGACUGUUUGGGUUGAGUGUCUUUCAUUGAUUUUUGCAACCAUGAACUGAAGGCUGCAGCAACAUGGAAAGUUGAUGGAGCAGGAUCAUCAAACAUUACCGAAGUUGACACUUUAUUUAAAGCAUUGAUUGGUGCUUUGAUCGUUCAAGAAAUACAAACCAAAAAAUAUGGCAAACUUUUGAAGCAAAGUUAUAAUGUGAUGGCGUCGUAAAUGGGUAAGGAUUUCUACGGUAUUUGAAUAUGUACCGGACAAUCAAAUAUGUAUCCAGAAUUUGAUAUCAACAUGCUCAGGAAUACGAGAGUUUUCCGUGGCAACGCUCGGUGAUGUAGUAUCGGUUCACCAAUGUGCUGAUGUGAAAUAUGGCAAACGGGUUCACAUCCUUCCAGUUGAUGAUACCAUCGAAGGCGUCACCGGCAAUCUCUUUAA